RNAcentral lists this ribosomal RNA (473 nucleotides) under uncultured bacterium. Its description in RNAcentral is "SSU rRNA". It matches the Rfam family "Bacterial small subunit ribosomal RNA", at positions 26 to 518 of the family's 1533-position model. The record is from RNAcentral.
AGGACGAACGCUGGCGGCGUGCUUAACACAUGCAAGUCGAGCGGAAAGGCCCUUCGGGGUACUCGAGCGGCGAACGGGUGAGUAACACGUGAGCAACCUGCCCUUAGCUUCGGGAUAGCUCCGGGAAACCGGAAUUAAUACCGGAUAUGACUAUGGCCGACAUCAGCCAUGGUGGAAAGUUUUUCGGCUAGGGAUGGACUCGCGGCCUAUCAGCUAGUUGGUGAGGUAACGGCUCACCAAGGCGACGACGGGUAGCCGGCCUGAGAGGGCGACCGGCCACACUGGGACUGAGACACGGCCCAGACUCCUACGGGAGGCAGCAGUGGGGAAUAUUGCGCAAUGGGCGAAAGCCUGACGCAGCGACGCCGCGUGGGGGAUGAAUGCCUUCGGGUUGUAAACCCCUUUCAGCAGGGACGAAGCGAAAGUGACGGUACCUGCAGAAGAGCGCCGGCUAACUACGUGCCAGCAGCCGC